ACUACGGGGUGCUGCAGUGGGGAAUAUUGGACAAUGGGCGAAAGCCUGAUCCAGCCAUGCCGCGUGUGUGAAGAAGGCCUUCGGGUUGUAAAGCACUUUCAGUGGGGAAGAAAGCCUUGGGGCUAAUACCCUCGAGGAAGGACAUCACCCACAGAAGAAGCACCGGCUAACUCCGUGCCAGCAGCCGCGGUAAUACGGAGGGUGCGAGCGUUAAUCGGAAUUACUGGGCGUAAAGCGCGCGUAGGCGGUCUGAUAAGCCGGUUGUGAAAGCCCCGGGCUCAACCUGGGAACGGCAUCCGGAACUGUCAGGCUAGAGUGCAGGAGAGGAAGGUAGAAUUCCCGGUGUAGCGGUGAAAUGCGUAGAGAUCGGGAGGAAUACCAGUGGCGAAGGCGGCCUUCUGGACUGACACUGACGCUGAGGUGCGAAAGCGUGGGUAGCAAACAGGAUUAGAUACCCUUGUAGUC
This 465-nucleotide ribosomal RNA is filed under the name Vreelandella stevensii. RNAcentral's name for it is "partial 16S ribosomal RNA". It matches the Rfam family "Bacterial small subunit ribosomal RNA", at positions 338 to 795 of the family's 1533-position model. The record is from RNAcentral. Lineage: Bacteria; Pseudomonadati; Pseudomonadota; Gammaproteobacteria; Oceanospirillales; Halomonadaceae.